CAAUACGGAAGGUACACGAGUGGCGCACGGGUGCGUAACGCGUAUGUAAUCUGCCCUUGACCGGAACAAAACAGCUGGAAACGGCUGCUAAUAUUCCAUGGUCAUUUUCGGAGGCAUCUCUGGGGAUGUAAAGAUUUAUUGGUCAAGGAUGAGCAUGCGUAUUAUUAGAUAGUUGGUGGGGUAACGGCCCACCAAGUCGACGAUGAUUAGGGGUUCUGAGAGGAUUAACCCCCACACUGGAACUGAGACACGGUCCAGACUCCUACGGGAGGCAGCAGUAGGGAAUAUUGGGCAAUGGAAGGAAUUCUGACCCAGCCAUGCCGCGUGAAGGAAGACGGUCCUAUGGAUUGUAAACUUCUUUUAUCGCAGAGUAAAUUGGGGCACGUGUGCCCCAUUGAGAGUAUGCGAUGAAUAAGUAUCGGCUAACUCCGUGCCAGCAGCCGCGGUAAUACGGAGGAUACGAGCGUUAUCCGGAUUUAUUGGGUUUAAAGGGUGCGCAGGCGGAUCGGUAAGUCAGGUGUGAAAAGUUCGUGCUUAACAUGAAUCGUGCCUUUGAUACUGCCGGACUAGAGUGCAAUAGACGUGGGCGGAAUGUGAUGUGUAGCGGUGAAAUGCUUAGAUAUGUCACAGAACACCGAUCGAGAAGUCAGCUCACGAGUUUGCAACUGACGCUCAUGCACGAAAGCGUGGGGAUCAAACAGGAUUAGAUACCCUGGUAGUCCACGCUGUAAACGAUGAUCACUCGUUGUUGGCCGGCGACGGUCAGUGGCCAAGCGAAAGCGAUAAGUGAUCCACCUGGGGAGUACGAUCGCAAGGUUGAAACUCAAAGGAAUUGACGGGGGCCCGCACAAGCGGAGGAGCAUGUGGUUUAAUUCGAUGUUACGCGAGGAACCUUACCCGGGCUUGAACGUAAGACGACGACGCAGGAGACUGCGUUUCCUUCGGGCGUUUUGCGAGGUGCUGCAUGGUUGUCGUCAGCUCGUGCCGUGAGGUGUUAGGUUAAGUCCUGCAACGAGCGCAACCCUUACUUUUAGUUGCCAGCAUGUAAAGAUGGGGACU
RNAcentral lists this ribosomal RNA (1059 nucleotides) under uncultured bacterium. RNAcentral's name for it is "bacterial SSU rRNA". It matches the Rfam family "Bacterial small subunit ribosomal RNA", at positions 77 to 1139 of the family's 1533-position model. The record is from RNAcentral.